GAUGAACGCUAGCUACAGGCUUAACACAUGCAAGUCGAGGGGCAUCACAGUGUAGCAAUACACGGGUGGCGACCGGCGCACGGGUGCGUAACACGUAUCCAAUCUGCCCGUUACUCGGGGAUAGCCUUCUGAAAGGAAGAUUAAUACCCGAUGGCAUGUAUUUCCGGCAUCGGAGAUACAUUAAAGAUUUUAUCGGUAACGGAUGAGGAUGCGUACGAUUAGCUGGUUGGCGGGGUAACGGCCCACCAUGGCGACGAUGUCUAGGGGUUCUGAGAGGAAGGUCCCCCACACUGGAACUGAGACACGGUCCAGACUCCUACGGGAGGCAGCAGCGAGGAAUAUUGGUCAAUGGUCGGAAGACUGAACCAGCCAUGCCGCGUGAAGGUGACGGCCCUAUGGGUCUUAAACUUCUUUUGCAAGGGAGCAAUAAGGUUCACGUGUGGACUGAUGAGAGUACCUUGCGAAUAAGCAUCGGCUAACUCCGUGCCA
This 489-nucleotide ribosomal RNA is filed under the name uncultured bacterium. RNAcentral's name for it is "bacterial SSU rRNA". It matches the Rfam family "Bacterial small subunit ribosomal RNA", at positions 28 to 510 of the family's 1533-position model. The record is from RNAcentral.